GACAGCAGUAGCCGCGGUAAAACGUAGGUGGCAAGCGUUGUCCGGAAUUAUUGGGCGUAAAGGGCUCGCAGGCGGUUUCUUAAGUCUGAUGUGAAAGCCCCCGGCUCAACCGGGGAGGGUCAUUGGAAACUGGGAAACUUGAGUGCAGAAGAGGAGAGUGGAAUUCCACGUGUAGCGGUGAAAUGCGUAGAGAUUAGGAGGAACACCAGUGGCGAAGGCGGCUUUUUGGCCUGUAACUGACACUGAGGCGCGAAAGCGUGGGGAGCAAACAGGAUUAGAUACCCCAGUAGUCCCUGUCUCUUAUAC
Molecule: ribosomal RNA, 306 nt
Filed under: uncultured bacterium
Lineage: Bacteria
Description: partial 16S ribosomal RNA
Rfam family: Bacterial small subunit ribosomal RNA
Source: RNAcentral